CCUACGGGUGGCAGCAGUAGGGAAUCUUCCACAAUGGGCGAAAGCCUGAUGGAGCAACGCCGCGUGGGUGAAGAAGGUCUUCGGAUCGCAAAACCCUGUUGUUAGAGAAGAAAGUGCGAGAGAGUAACUGUUCACGUGUCGACGGUAUCUAACCAGAAAGCCACGGCUAACUACGUGCAAGCAGCCGCGGUAAUACGGAGGUGGCAAGCGUUAUCCGGAUUUAUUGGGCGUAAAGGGAACGCAGGCGGUCUUUUAAGUCUGAUGUGAAAGCCUUCGGCUUAACCGGAGUAGUGCAUUGGAAACUGGGAGACUUGCGUGCAGCAGAGGCGAGUGUAACUCCAUGUGUAGCGGUGAAAUGCGUAGAUAUAUGGCAGACCCCCAGUGGCGAACGCGGCUCUCUGGUCUGUAACUGACGCUGAGGUUCGAACGCGUGGGUAGCAAACAGGAUUAGAUACCCGAGUAGUC
RNAcentral lists this ribosomal RNA (465 nucleotides) under uncultured bacterium. Its description in RNAcentral is "partial 16S ribosomal RNA". It matches the Rfam family "Bacterial small subunit ribosomal RNA", at positions 338 to 795 of the family's 1533-position model. The record is from RNAcentral.